AUUCUGCCCAUGCGGGGAAGGAUGAGAAGCUUCGAUUAAGGUUCGGCUCGAGCGCCAGCGAGAGAGCGUUGCCGCAGGCAACGACCCGAAGGGCGAAGCGCGCAGCGCUGAGUAAUCCUUCCCCCACCACCA
RNAcentral lists this small RNA (132 nucleotides) under Escherichia coli. RNAcentral's name for it is "RtT sRNA". It matches the Rfam family "RtT RNA". Rfam says of the family: This family represents a bacterial cis-regulatory element known as RtT RNA. The exact function of RtT is unknown although it is thought that it may be involved in changing the cellular response in relation to amino acid starvation. The record is from RNAcentral. RNAcentral also lists the same sequence under 1 other name. Lineage: Bacteria; Pseudomonadati; Pseudomonadota; Gammaproteobacteria; Enterobacterales; Enterobacteriaceae.